Molecule: ribosomal RNA, 469 nt
Filed under: uncultured bacterium
Lineage: Bacteria
Description: partial 16S ribosomal RNA
Rfam family: Bacterial small subunit ribosomal RNA
Source: RNAcentral
GACGAACGCUGGCGGCGUGCUUAACACAUGCAAGUCGAACGAUGAAGCACCAGCUUGCUGGUGUGGAUUAGUGGCGAACGGGUGAGUAACACGUGAGUAACCUGCCCCUCACUCUGGGAUAAGCCUGGGAAACUGGGUCUAAUACUGGAUACGACCGAUCUCCGCAUGGGGUGUUGGUGGAAAGUUUUUGUGGUGGGGGAUGGACUCGCGGCCUAUCAGCUUGUUGGUGGGGUAAUGGCCUACCAAGGCGACGACGGGUAGCCGGCCUGAGAGGGCGACCGGCCACACUGGGACUGAGACACGGCCCAGACUCCUACGGGAGGCAGCAGUGGGGAAUAUUGCACAAUGGGCGAAAGCCUGAUGCAGCGACGCCGCGUGAGGGAUGACGGCCUUCGGGUUGUAAACCUCUUUCACCAGGGACGAAGCUAACGUGACGGUACCUGGAGAAGAAGCACCGGCUAACUACGUG